UGCCGCGUGCGGGAAGAAGGCCUUCGGGUUGUAAACCGCUUUUGUCAGGGAAGAAAAGGUUCUGGUUAAUACCUGGGACUCAUGACGGUACCUGAAGAAUAAGCACCGGCUAACUACGUGCCAGCAGCCGCGGUAAUACGUAGGGUGCAAGCGUUAAUCGGAAUUACUGGGCGUAAAGCGUGCGCAGGCGGUUAUGCAAGACAGAUGUGAAAUCCCCGGGCUCAACCUGGGAACUGCAUUUGUGACUGCAUAGCUAGAGUACGGUAGAGGGGGAUGGAAUUCCGCGUGUAGCAGUGAAAUGCGUAGAUAUGCGGAGGAACACCGAUGGCGAAGGCAAUCCCCUGGACCUGUACUGACGCUCAUGCACGAAAGCGUGGGGAGCAAACAGGAUUAGAUACCCUGGUAGUCCACGCCCUAAACGAUGUCAACUGGUUGUUGGGAGG
RNAcentral lists this ribosomal RNA (443 nucleotides) under Roseateles sp. RNAcentral describes it as "bacterial SSU rRNA". It matches the Rfam family "Bacterial small subunit ribosomal RNA", at positions 395 to 830 of the family's 1533-position model. Lineage: Bacteria; Pseudomonadati; Pseudomonadota; Betaproteobacteria; Burkholderiales; Sphaerotilaceae. The record is from RNAcentral.